This is a long non-coding RNA of Carassius gibelio (silver crucian carp), 1677 nucleotides long. RefSeq lists it as uncharacterized. The transcript is spliced from 3 exons. Lineage: Eukaryota; Metazoa; Chordata; Actinopteri; Cypriniformes; Cyprinidae. The record is from RefSeq and is a predicted model, not a curated record.
GCGUGUUCUGGGUGUCUGCCACUUGGACUUCAUGCAAGCUUGAGCGCAUGCUGAUAGCACCACUAUUUCUGUCCUAACUGAUUUCCAUUGACACUUGAGGAUUAGUCCUACAAAGACUGAGGUAGCAGCAUUCAAAGCCAUACAUCUUUGGAGGCGUACAAGUCACGGAAUUCAGCUGAUGUGCAGAGUUUUGCUGCUUGAUCAUCCAUAAAGUUUCCAUCUAUUUUUCAAAGGAUGUGAUUCGGUCACAGAAUGUUUUGGACCCCAUUUACAUCGGAUUGUAUUACUGUCUGCUUGUGAAGGGAUCACCUGAAACUGCUGUUAACACCAGGAACUUCUGUGUCAGAGUUCAUGCAGAGGUGACGACUCUGAUGCCAAAGUACAAUCGAAGCUGCUCCAGAAAGAUGAAAAAAUCCUCCAGUUUGUCUCUCAGCUGAUGGACAGAUUCUCUCACGGCAUCGAAAGGGUGGAGAGAGCUGAAGGGCACAACGGGGAUGUCUGUAGAUCCAGGAGCUGCCGAGAGAGACUGGAGACUCUAUAGAAAACAAAUCAAAACUCAUCACCUCCACACGUCACACAAAAAUCUGCUCUUGUGCAGCCUUGAAUCAGAAAUCACACGCUGUUCAUUUAUUUAGCAAGAGAAAUACUGUGUCCCUGACUGAGCCAAGUUUUUUUCUCCAUUGCUGAGGUCUAAAAGUCACUUCAUAUUCAGUAACAUUAUGACUAAACUACACUAACAAUAUUGGAUGUAAAUUAAACUUUAAAUAAAUGGAGUUAAAUAAUGGCACAACUGCCUUCUGCAGAGGUGCUUUACAGCUGAAUGAAAUUGGUUUCAUUUUGCAACAUCAACACUGAUAUUAAACCGAGCUGAAUCAACAUUAAAAUGAUUCAAGCUGAAUAACAACACUAUUUUCUUUAGUUAAACUCAUCAGAAACUGAACUGACUGGAGCUGAACAGUGACUUGCAAUAACCGCUUUACAGCUGAAUUUGAAUUAGUGUAAUAUUUAAUGAAGUAUGCAUAUUUGCUCAUUAUUACAGUGAAGCUGCUUUGAAACAAUAAACUAUCUGUAUAAAGCGUUAUAUACUUGUCAUGACUUUAUUCCUGUUUUCCUAGAUCUGUGUUACCAGCAGGGAAUAGAUGUGGUUGUGCUUCAGCUCAGCGUCUCUCCUCUUCAGAGCAUCAAUCUCUUGCUCCAGCUGCUCAUUGAGUUCUUCAGCUCGACUCGCUGCAAUCUUUUCCUGAUCUCUGAUCAUCUGCGUGACCUCAGAGCUGCUUCUCUCAAUGGAGCGGAUGAGCUCAGUAAAGAUGCUCUCAGUGUCCUCCACUGUUGUGUGUGCAGAGCGCUGUUAGACACACACACAGCACAAUCACACAGUGAGCCAAAGAGCUGGAGCAGUGUGACUUCUCUUCUUCUCCAGACUCACCUUACGAGACGCUGCAGCUUCUCUCAGCUGCUGGAGAUCUUUCUGUCUCUGUUGGAUUCUGUGCUGGAACUUCAUCGCCGUCUCCUUCAGCAGUUUCUGAAGGACAAACCAAUAAAUGAGACUAAUAACACAAAACCAUUAACUUAAAUGUCAAAAGUCUACUGAAUCUUGUGUCUUGUCUUUAAAGCAUGGCAAAAUAUUAUUAAAUAAGAAUGUCCAAUAUACUUAAAAUGUGUAGUUAAAAUUUUCAG